This 876-nucleotide ribosomal RNA is filed under the name uncultured beta proteobacterium. Its description in RNAcentral is "bacterial SSU rRNA". It matches the Rfam family "Bacterial small subunit ribosomal RNA", at positions 110 to 982 of the family's 1533-position model. Lineage: Bacteria; Pseudomonadati; Pseudomonadota; Betaproteobacteria. The record is from RNAcentral.
GUAAUAUAUCGGAACGUGCCCAGUCGUGGGGGAUAACGUAGUGAAAAUUACGCUAAUACCGCAUACGAUCUAAGGAUGAAAGCGGGGGAUCGCAAGACCUCGCGCGAUUGGAGCGGCCGAUAUCAGAUUAGGUAGUUGGUGAGGUAAAGGCUCACCAAGCCAACGAUCUGUAGCUGGUUGAGAGGACGACCAGCCACACUGGAACUGAGACACGGUCCAGACUCCUACGGGAGGCAGCAGUGGGGAAUUUUGGACAAUGGACGCAAGUCUGAUCCAGCCAUUCCGCGUGCAGGACGAAGGCCUUCGGGUUGUAAACUGCUUUUGUACAGAACGAAAAGGUCUCUAUUAAUACUAGGGGCUCAUGACGGUACUGUAAGAAUAUGCACCGGCUAACUACGUGCCAGCAGCCGCGGUAAUACGUAGGGUGCAAGCGUUAAUCGGAAUUACUGGGCGUAAAGCGUGCGCAGGCGGUUUUGUAAGUCGGAUGUGAAAUCCCCGGGCUCAACCUGGGAACUGCGUUCGAAACUGCAAGGCUAGAGUGUGUCAGAGGGGGGUAGAAUUCCACGUGUAGCAGUGAAAUGCGUAGAGAUGUGGAGGAAUACCAAUGGCGAAGGCAGCCCCCUGGGAUAACACUGACGCUCAUGCACGAAAGCGUGGGGAGCAAACAGGAUUAGAUACCCUGGUAGUCCACGCCCUAAACGAUGUCAACUAGUUGUUGGUAGAGUAAAAUCUAUGAGUAACGUAGCUAACGCGUGAAGUUGACCGCCUGGGGAGUACGGUCGCAAGAUUAAAACUCAAAGGAAUUGACGGGGACCCGCACAAGCGGUGGAUGAUGUGGAUUAAUUCGAUGCAACGCGAAAAACCUUACCUACCCUU